This 2930-nucleotide ribosomal RNA is filed under the name Escherichia coli. RNAcentral describes it as "23S ribosomal RNA". It matches the Rfam family "Bacterial large subunit ribosomal RNA". The record is from RNAcentral. Lineage: Bacteria; Pseudomonadati; Pseudomonadota; Gammaproteobacteria; Enterobacterales; Enterobacteriaceae.
GGGUUGUGAGGUUAAGCGACUAAGCGUACACGGUGGAUGCCCUGGCAGUCAGAGGCGAUGAAGGACGUGCUAAUCUGCGAUAAGCGUCGGUAAGGUGAUAUGAACCGUUAUAACCGGCGAUUUCCGAAUGGGGAAACCCAGUGUGUUUCGACACACUAUCAUUAACUGAAUCCAUAGGUUAAUGAGGCGAACCGGGGGAACUGAAACAUCUAAGUACCCCGAGGAAAAGAAAUCAACCGAGAUUCCCCCAGUAGCGGCGAGCGAACGGGGAGGAGCCCAGAGCCUGAAUCAGUGUGUGUGUUAGUGGAAGCGUCUGGAAAGGCGCGCGAUACAGGGUGACAGCCCCGUACACAAAAAUGCACAUGCUGUGAGCUCGAUGAGUAGGGCGGGACACGUGGUAUCCUGUCUGAAUAUGGGGGGACCAUCCUCCAAGGCUAAAUACUCCUGACUGACCGAUAGUGAACCAGUACCGUGAGGGAAAGGCGAAAAGAACCCCGGCGAGGGGAGUGAAAAAGAACCUGAAACCGUGUACGUACAAGCAGUGGGAGCACGCUUAGGCGUGUGACUGCGUACCUUUUGUAUAAUGGGUCAGCGACUUAUAUUCUGUAGCAAGGUUAACCGAAUAGGGGAGCCGAAGGGAAACCGAGUCUUAACUGGGCGUUAAGUUGCAGGGUAUAGACCCGAAACCCGGUGAUCUAGCCAUGGGCAGGUUGAAGGUUGGGUAACACUAACUGGAGGACCGAACCGACUAAUGUUGAAAAAUUAGCGGAUGACUUGUGGCUGGGGGUGAAAGGCCAAUCAAACCGGGAGAUAGCUGGUUCUCCCCGAAAGCUAUUUAGGUAGCGCCUCGUGAAUUCAUCUCCGGGGGUAGAGCACUGUUUCGGCAAGGGGGUCAUCCCGACUUACCAACCCGAUGCAAACUGCGAAUACCGGAGAAUGUUAUCACGGGAGACACACGGCGGGUGCUAACGUCCGUCGUGAAGAGGGAAACAACCCAGACCGCCAGCUAAGGUCCCAAAGUCAUGGUUAAGUGGGAAACGAUGUGGGAAGGCCCAGACAGCCAGGAUGUUGGCUUAGAAGCAGCCAUCAUUUAAAGAAAGCGUAAUAGCUCACUGGUCGAGUCGGCCUGCGCGGAAGAUGUAACGGGGCUAAACCAUGCACCGAAGCUGCGGCAGCGACGCUUAUGCGUUGUUGGGUAGGGGAGCGUUCUGUAAGCCUGUGAAGGUGUGCUGUGAGGCAUGCUGGAGGUAUCAGAAGUGCGAAUGCUGACAUAAGUAACGAUAAAGCGGGUGAAAAGCCCGCUCGCCGGAAGACCAAGGGUUCCUGUCCAACGUUAAUCGGGGCAGGGUGAGUCGACCCCUAAGGCGAGGCCGAAAGGCGUAGUCGAUGGGAAACAGGUUAAUAUUCCUGUACUUGGUGUUACUGCGAAGGGGGGACGGAGAAGGCUAUGUUGGCCGGGCGACGGUUGUCCCGGUUUAAGCGUGUAGGCUGGUUUUCCAGGCAAAUCCGGAAAAUCAAGGCUGAGGCGUGAUGACGAGGCACUACGGUGCUGAAGCAACAAAUGCCCUGCUUCCAGGAAAAGCCUCUAAGCAUCAGGUAACAUCAAAUCGUACCCCAAACCGACACAGGUGGUCAGGUAGAGAAUACCAAGGCGCUUGAGAGAACUCGGGUGAAGGAACUAGGCAAAAUGGUGCCGUAACUUCGGGAGAAGGCACGCUGAUAUGUAGGUGAAGUCCCUCGCGGAUGGAGCUGAAAUCAGUCGAAGAUACCAGCUGGCUGCAACUGUUUAUUAAAAACACAGCACUGUGCAAACACGAAAGUGGACGUAUACGGUGUGACGCCUGCCCGGUGCCGGAAGGUUAAUUGAUGGGGUCAGCGCAAGCGAAGCUCUUGAUCGAAGCCCCGGUAAACGGCGGCCGUAACUAUAACGGUCCUAAGGUAGCGAAAUUCCUUGUCGGGUAAGUUCCGACCUGCACGAAUGGCGUAAUGAUGGCCAGGCUGUCUCCACCCGAGACUCAGUGAAAUUGAACUCGCUGUGAAGAUGCAGUGUACCCGCGGCAAGACGGAAAGACCCCGUGAACCUUUACUAUAGCUUGACACUGAACAUUGAGCCUUGAUGUGUAGGAUAGGUGGGAGGCUUUGAAGUGUGGACGCAAGUCUGCAUGGAGCCGACCUUGAAAUACCACCCUUUAAUGUUUGAUGUUCUAACGUGGACCCGUAAUCCGGGUUGCGGACAGUGUCUGGUGGGUAGUUUGACUGGGGCGGUCUCCUCCUAAAGAGUAACGGAGGAGCACGAAGGUUGGCUAAUCCUGGUCGGACAUCAGGAGGUUAGUGCAAUGGCAUAAGCCAGCUUGACUGCGAGCGUGACGGCGCGAGCAGGUGCGAAAGCAGGUCAUAGUGAUCCGGUGGUUCUGAAUGGAAGGGCCAUCGCUCAACGGAUAAAAGGUACUCCGGGGAUAACAGGCUGAUACCGCCCAAGAGUUCAUAUCGACGGCGGUGUUUGGCACCUCGAUGUCGGCUCAUCACAUCCUGGGGCUGAAGUAGGUCCCAAGGGUAUGGCUGUUCGCCAUUUAAAGUGGUACGCGAGCUGGGUUUAGAACGUCGUGAGACAGUUCGGUCCCUAUCUGCCGUGGGCGCUGGAGAACUGAGGGGGGCUGCUCCUAGUACGAGAGGACCGGAGUGGACGCAUCACUGGUGUUCGGGUUGUCAUGCCAAUGGCACUGCCCGGUAGCUAAAUGCGGAAGAGAUAAGUGCUGAAAGCAUCUAAGCACGAAACUUGCCCCGAGAUGAGUUCUCCCUGACCCUUUAAGGGUCCUGAAGGAACGUUGAAGACGACGACGUUGAUAGGCCGGGUGUGUAAGCGCAGCGAUGCGUUGAGCUAACCGGUACUAAUGAACCGUGAGGCUUAACCUUACAACGCCGAAGCUGUU